Molecule: ribosomal RNA, 253 nt
Filed under: uncultured bacterium
Lineage: Bacteria
Description: partial 16S ribosomal RNA
Rfam family: Bacterial small subunit ribosomal RNA
Source: RNAcentral
UACGGAGGGUGCAAGCGUUAAUCGGAAUUACUGGGCGUAAAGGGCGCGUAGGUGGUUUAGUAAGUUGGCUGUGAAAUCCCUGGGCUUAACCUGGGGUGGUCAACCAAUACUGUUAAACUAGAGUACGAGAGAGGGUAGUGGAAUUUCAGGUGUAGCGGUGAAAUGCGUAGAUAUCUGAAGGAACACCAGUGGCGAAGGCGACUACCUGGCUCGAUACUGACACUGAGGCGCGAAAGCGUGGGGAGCAAACAGG